UACGAAGGGGGCUAGCGUUGUUCGGAAUUACUGGGCGUAAAGCGCGCGUAGGCGGCUUUGUAAGUUAGAGGUGAAAGCCCGGAGCUCAACUUCGGAAUUGCCUUUAAGACUGCAUCGCUAGAAUCAUGGAGAGGUGAGUGGAAUUCCGAGUGUAGAGGUGAAAUUCGUAGAUAUUCGGAAGAACACCAGUGGCGAAGGCGACUCACUGGACAUGUAUUGACGCUGAGGUGCGAAAGCGUGGGGAGCAAACAGG
This 253-nucleotide ribosomal RNA is filed under the name uncultured bacterium. RNAcentral describes it as "partial 16S ribosomal RNA". It matches the Rfam family "Bacterial small subunit ribosomal RNA", at positions 524 to 776 of the family's 1533-position model. The record is from RNAcentral.